This 379-nucleotide long non-coding RNA is filed under the name Mytilus galloprovincialis (Mediterranean mussel). The record is from RNAcentral. Lineage: Eukaryota; Metazoa; Mollusca; Bivalvia; Mytilida; Mytilidae.
UUCUAUUCAAUUUUGAAGCAUAUCCAUCGCCACUUGUAAAACUAGUCGACCACAUUUUGCAAACUAAUCAUCUUGGAUGCUUUCAAGUUAACAGUAUAAAAUGUUCUAUUUGUCGUUUUGUACUGGCAGAAUAAAAAAGAUAAUGAAACUUCUUGGUCCAUACCUUAGAUCAUGUGGAUUUCGCAAAUUGGCUCAAAUGUGACCAAUGUAUAUUUCAAGUACAGCCAUGGUUUAGCAGACCACGAAGAACAUGGCCUCCACCCGAGAUCGUUUCCAAAAUAAUAUCUUUUGGGGUGUUAAUUGUCCCAAUUGGCUGCAAAGGAUCCAUAAAUGAAAAUCUUGAAUGGCGAAUUUCCUUUCCUGUACCAGAAAAGUUUCU